This 423-nucleotide ribosomal RNA is filed under the name uncultured bacterium. Its description in RNAcentral is "bacterial SSU rRNA". It matches the Rfam family "Bacterial small subunit ribosomal RNA", at positions 355 to 775 of the family's 1533-position model. The record is from RNAcentral.
UAAGGAAUAUUGGUCAAUGGACGCAAGUCUGAACCAGCCAUGCCGCGUGGAGGAUGAAGGUCCUCUGGAUUGUAAACUUCUUUUAUCUGGGAAGAAACCCAUGAAUUCUUUUGUGGUUGACGGUACCAGAUGAAUAAGCACCGGCUAACUCCGUGCCAGCAGCCGCGGUAAUACGGAGGGUGCAAGCGUUAUCCGGAUUUACUGGGUUUAAAGGGUGCGUAGGCGGAAUGGUAAGUCCGUGGUGAAAUCCCCGAGCUUAACUUGGGAACUGCCAUGGAUACUAUCAAUCUUGAAUAUCAUGGAGGUAAGCGGAAUAUGUCAUGUAGCGGUGAAAUGCUUAGAUAUGACAUAGAACACCAAUUGCGAAGGCAGCUUACUACGCGAUAAUUGACGCUGAGGCACGAAAGCGUGGGGAUCAAACAG